This 505-nucleotide ribosomal RNA is filed under the name uncultured bacterium. RNAcentral's name for it is "partial 16S ribosomal RNA". It matches the Rfam family "Bacterial small subunit ribosomal RNA", at positions 28 to 507 of the family's 1533-position model. The record is from RNAcentral.
GACGAACGCUGGCGGCGUGCCUAAUACAUGCAAGUAGAACGCACAGUUUAUACCGUAGCUUGCUACACCAUAGACUGUGAGUUGCGAACGGGUGAGUAACGCGUAGGUAACCUGCCUGGUAGCGGGGGAUAACUAUUGGAAACGAUAGCUAAUACCGCAUAAUAUUAAUUAUUGCAUGAUAAUUAAUUGAAAGGUGCAAUUGCACCACUACCAGAUGGACCUGCGUUGUAUUAGCUAGUAGGUGAGGUAACGGCUCACCUAGGCGACGAUACAUAGCCGAGCUGGGAGGGUGAUCGGCCAAACUGGGACUGAGACACGGCCCAGACGCCUACGGGAGGCAGCAGUAGGGAAUCUUCGGCAAUUGACGAAAGUCUGACCGCGCAACGCCGCGGGAGUGAAGAAGGGUUUCGGAUCGUAAAGCUCUGUUGUAAGAGAAGAAAGGGUGUGAGAGUGGAAAGUUCACACUGUGACGGUAUCUUACCAGAAAGGGACGGCUAACUACGUG